This 200-nucleotide long non-coding RNA is filed under the name Musa acuminata (dwarf banana). RNAcentral describes it as "long non-coding RNA (MACU_LNC008926)". Lineage: Eukaryota; Viridiplantae; Streptophyta; Magnoliopsida; Zingiberales; Musaceae. The record is from RNAcentral.
AAAUAUAUUGUUACAAAUUGUGACACACACAAUAAAUCAUCUAAGUCGACUUCUCUAAAAAAAAAAAUUUAAAUUUCUAUAUUAAUUAAUUAAAGUGGAUUGAAGUGACACGAUAAUACUUGAUUAGAUUUUAGAAUAAUUCACUCGAUAAACAAAGACUAAUGAGAUAUCAAGUCUUACCAAACUUUCAGAAAAACUCC